GACAUAAGUAAACUAGAGGCUCUAAAGAGCCUGUGUCGCUCACCUUGGUCUUGUGCAUAUUAAAUAAUGGACACGGAUAAAUUCAUGACAUAAUUGUGUUUUGGUGAUAGUGAUGUGUUUGUAGAUCUUACUUUACUGAACAUUCUUGUUGCUACAAAUAUCUCUGUCUAUAAUGAACUUGGCCCAGUAAUUACAGUGGAAAAUAUUUUCUACAAAA
Molecule: long non-coding RNA, 217 nt
Filed under: Mytilus galloprovincialis (Mediterranean mussel)
Lineage: Eukaryota; Metazoa; Mollusca; Bivalvia; Mytilida; Mytilidae
Source: RNAcentral